RNAcentral lists this ribosomal RNA (593 nucleotides) under Streptomyces sp. RNAcentral describes it as "bacterial SSU rRNA". It matches the Rfam family "Bacterial small subunit ribosomal RNA", at positions 273 to 876 of the family's 1533-position model. Lineage: Bacteria; Bacillati; Actinomycetota; Actinomycetes; Kitasatosporales; Streptomycetaceae. The record is from RNAcentral.
GCGACGACGGGUAGCCGGCCUGAGAGGGCGACCGGCCACACUGGGACUGAGACACGGCCCAGACUCCUACGGGAGGCAGCAGUGGGGAAUAUUGCACAAUGGGCGAAAGCCUGAUGCAGCGACGCCGCGUGAGGGAUGACGGCCUUCGGGUUGUAAACCUCUUUCAGCAGGGAAGAAGCGCAAGUGACGGUACCUGCAGAAGAAGCGCCGGCUAACUACGUGCCAGCAGCCGCGGUAAUACGUAGGGCGCAAGCGUUGUCCGGAAUUAUUGGGCGUAAAGAGCUCGUAGGCGGCUUGUCACGUCGGAUGUGAAAGCCCGGGGCUUAACCCCGGGUCUGCAUUCGAUACGGGCUAGCUAGAGUGUGGUAGGGGAGAUCGGAAUUCCUGGUGUAGCGGUGAAAUGCGCAGAUAUCAGGAGGAACACCGGUGGCGAAGGCGGAUCUCUGGGCCAUUACUGACGCUGAGGAGCGAAAGCGUGGGGAGCGAACAGGAUUAGAUACCCUGGUAGUCCACGCCGUAAACGUUGGGAACUAGGUGUUGGCGACAUUCCACGUCGUCGGUGCCGCAGCUAACGCAUUAAGUUCCCCGCCUGA